Molecule: ribosomal RNA, 492 nt
Filed under: uncultured bacterium
Lineage: Bacteria
Description: partial 16S ribosomal RNA
Rfam family: Bacterial small subunit ribosomal RNA
Source: RNAcentral
AGUGAACGCUGGCGGUAGGCCUAACACAUGCAAGUCGAACGGCAGCACAGUAAGAGCUUGCUCUUACGGGUGGCGAGUGGCGGACGGGUGAGGAAUACAUCGGAAUCUACUUUUUCGUGGGGGAUAACGUAGGGAAACUUACGCUAAUACCGCAUACGACCUACGGGUGAAAGCAGGGGAUCUUCGGACCUUGCGCGAUUGAAUGAGCCGAUGUCGGAUUAGCUAGUUGGCGGGGUAAAGGCCCACCAAGGCGACGAUCCGUAGCUGGUCUGAGAGGAUGAUCAGCCACAUUGGAGCUGAGACACGGUCCAGACUCCUACGGGAGGCAGCAGUGGGGAAUAUUGGACAAUGGGCGCAAGCCUGAUCCAGCCAUACCGCGUGGGUGAAGAAGGCCUUCGGGUUGUAAAGCCCUUUUGUUGGGAAAGAAAAGCAGCAGGUUAAUACCCCGCUGUUCUGACGGUACCCAAAGAAUAAGCACCGGCUAACUUCGUG